Molecule: transfer RNA, 76 nt
Filed under: bacterium
Lineage: Bacteria
Description: tRNA-Trp
Rfam family: tRNA
About the family: Transfer RNA (tRNA) molecules are approximately 80 nucleotides in length. Their secondary structure includes four short double-helical elements and three loops (D, anti-codon, and T loops).
Source: RNAcentral
AGGGGCAUAGCUCAACUGGUAGAGCGUCGGUCUCCAAAACCGAAGGCUGGGGGUUCAAGCCCCUCUGCCCCUGCCA